RNAcentral lists this ribosomal RNA (445 nucleotides) under uncultured bacterium. RNAcentral's name for it is "partial 16S ribosomal RNA". It matches the Rfam family "Bacterial small subunit ribosomal RNA", at positions 354 to 796 of the family's 1533-position model. The record is from RNAcentral.
GUGGGGAAUAUUGGUCAAUGGACGAGAGUCUGAACCAGCCAAGUCGCGUGAAGGAAGACGGUUCUAUGAAUUGUAAACUUCUUUUGUGCAGGAAUAAAGUGGGUUACGUGUAACCUUUUGUAUGUACUGUACGAAUAAGGAUCGGCUAACUCCGUGCCAGCAGCCGCGGUAAUACGGAGGAUCCGAGCGUUAUCCGGAUUUAUUGGGUUUAAAGGGUGCGUAGGUGGAUUGAUAAGUCAGCGGUGAAAGUUUGCAGCUUAACUGUAAAAUUGCCGUUGAAACUGUCGGUCUUGAGUGCAAAUGAGGUAGGCGGAAUGUGUUGUGUAGCGGUGAAAUGCUUAGAUAUAACACAGAACUCCGAUUGCGAAGGCAGCUUACUGGGAUGCAACUGACACUGAUGCACGAAAGCGUGGGUAUCAAACAGGAUUAGAUACCCGUGUAGUCC